UACGAAGGGGGCUAGCGUUGUUCGGAAUUACUGGGCGUAAAGCGUGCGUAGACGGUUAUGUAAGUCAGAUGUGAAAGCCCCGGGCUCAACCUGGGAAUUGCAUUUGAGACUGCAUAGCUAGGGUGCGGAAGAGGGAAGCGGAAUUUCCGGUGUAGCGGUGAAAUGCGUAGAUAUCGGAAGGAACACCAGUGGCGAAAGCGGCUUCCUGGUCCAGCACCGACGUUCAGGCACGAAAGCGUGGGGAGCAAACAGG
RNAcentral lists this ribosomal RNA (253 nucleotides) under uncultured bacterium. RNAcentral's name for it is "partial 16S ribosomal RNA". It matches the Rfam family "Bacterial small subunit ribosomal RNA", at positions 524 to 776 of the family's 1533-position model. The record is from RNAcentral.